ACCCUAAUUUCCCAAAUUGAGAAACCCUAACCCUAAUGUUUCCCUUUCCUCAGCCACUGAACGCAGCCUCUACCCCCUUUUCUUCCUAAACACCACACACACACAAAAGAAGAAAGAAACGCAUAGAGAGAGAGAGCACGAAGAGUAGAGAAAAGAGAGAGGGAAGAGCUCUUGCCCUGCCGCCGCCGUGACCGUCGCACUGCCACCGUUCAACUCCGCUCGCGCUGCCGCGCGUUCUGUCAUCAUCAGAGUCAUCGUCGUCGUUUGUGGAGCCGCGAGGAGCUCGCCGUCGAGCUGCUUUGCAGCGCCGUCCCGUCCAUAGAGCCGAGCCCGAGCCCGCUUCGUCACCGCCGUCGGGGUCUUCAUCGUCGCUGGUGCGGUCGGAGCCGCCGUCGUUGGAGAGAGAGCAAGCGCGAAUCUGAGAAAGGGAGAGGGAGAGAGAUCCGACGCCACAGAGGAGGAAAGGAGAAGUCUUCUGUCAUCAACGCCACUCCUCUUCACCACCGCCGCCGCCGGAAUUUCUGGUUGCCGCCAUGAUUAAUGAUGAGUUAGUUAAACCCUAGCCAUGAGAACCACCAUCUUUGAACCCUUGUCACUCUGUAAAUAGCUUGUAUCUGCCUCUGAUGUUCUUGGCUAUGUUAUAUUUGUUGGAGCAUGUUUUAAUGGAGCCACUGGCGGGGUGAUGCUACUGCCGGAACCACCGCGGGGUGUUGCUAGGAAUCGCCCCUGCCCUGCUUCUGCUAUACUUGGGUUCAACAUCCAUUGGCCUGGAGCUGUUUCUGCCUUUCGAUUCCAUUGAAUUCGAAAUCUUCAUUUCACUGCAACCAUGGUCAUUGUUGUGGAAGCUAAUGCUACUGCUGUCCCGGUUGUGUUGAGAUGUAGUGCUGCUGCUUUCUGGGCAGAAACGAUUGCGUGACUAGUAGAGGUCCAGCCAGCUGUCUCGCAGCAAUUCUGCCAACGGUCUCUUGUAAUUGCGACAUCGAGUGACAUAGGUUUGAAGACGCAAUUUGAAGCUGCGAGCGAUUAGUAGGUUUUCUUUAUGGUUUUAAUUGCUUUCAUGGAGUCCCCUCGCUCUUGUCCUUUGAAGUUUUAUUUUAACAGAGGGGUAGGUGUUGUAGUUGGAUUUAUAUGACUUCUUAUGUAUAAGAGUUACUAUUAAUAAUACUUAUAUGAUUGUUAUUAUUAUUUGCAAUGCUUAUCUUUGAUACAUGUCUUGAAUGAAUAAAAAAAAAAACAAAAUUUCUGGAAUUUUCUUAAAACUAAGACGCGAACUCGAUACAAAGGCUCGAUAAUUAAGUAGUUAAUACUAGAGAAGGUUACGUAAUAUUCUUUCUAGUAGAAAUACCCUGACUUAAGCAAGGUACUUUGCUGGAAGGGAUGUUACAAUAAUGCUUCCCAAAUUUUCAAAUAACAUAUUCAAUUCAAUUCCCUACUUUUUUUAUCAUCCCAUGUUCCCAAAUUCCCCACACUUAAAUUAUACACAAUAUCUAUCUUAAGCUAACCAAGGAUUCAACUUGAGAUUUUUAUUUUAUUUUUCUGCUUAAGGCUAGUAAUGUGGUUAUAGAACAGAAGGGGAUUAACAAGGCUCAAAUGGGCUAACAAGGGUGACAUAAAAUGGUAGGCUUUAUU
Arachis duranensis is the source of this 1629-nucleotide long non-coding RNA. RefSeq lists it as uncharacterized. The record is from RefSeq and is a predicted model, not a curated record. The transcript is spliced from 3 exons. Lineage: Eukaryota; Viridiplantae; Streptophyta; Magnoliopsida; Fabales; Fabaceae.